RNAcentral lists this small RNA (190 nucleotides) under Pan troglodytes (chimpanzee). RNAcentral's name for it is "processed transcript". The record is from RNAcentral. Lineage: Eukaryota; Metazoa; Chordata; Mammalia; Primates; Hominidae.
GAGUUGGACAGGUUGGAUUAUUUGAAAAUAGCCUGGGUUGUGAGAGGAAAAUGAGCAGGCCAGAGGAAUUUGGAGCUGCCAGCAUCUUGGAGGCUGGAGAGCAGGGUGCAAUCACAGCUCACUGCAGCCUUAAACUCUUGGGCUCAAGCGAUCCUCCCACCUCAGCCUCCUGAGUAGCUGGGAUCACAGG